Molecule: ribosomal RNA, 429 nt
Filed under: Actinomycetes bacterium
Lineage: Bacteria; Bacillati; Actinomycetota; Actinomycetes
Description: Actinobacteria bacterium partial 16S ribosomal RNA
Rfam family: Bacterial small subunit ribosomal RNA
Source: RNAcentral
UAGGGAAUCUUACGCAAUGGGCGAAAGCUUGACGGAUCAAUGCCGCGUGAGUGAUGAAGGUCUUCGGAUCGUAAAACUCUGUUAUCAGGGAAGAACAAAUGUGUAAGUAACUAUGCACGUCUUGACGGUACCUAAUCAGAAAGCCACGGCUAACUACGUGCCAGCAGCCGCGGUAAUACGUAGGGGGCAAGCGUUACCCGGCCUUAUUGGGUGUAAAGCGUGCGUAGGCGGGUUUUUAAAUCUGAAGUAAAAGCCCAAGGCUCAACCGUGGGGGGUCAUUGGAAACUGGAAAACUUGAGUGCAGAAGAGGAAAGAGGAAUUCCAUUUGUAGCGGUGAAAUGCGCAGAGAUAUGGAGGAACACCAGUGGCGAAGGCGACUUUCUGGUCUGUAACUGACGCUGAUGGGCGAAAGCGUGGGGAUCAAACAGG